UCUUUUUUUUUUUUGAUAUGUUUUGAUCAUGUAUCAAUAUAUUAUAACGUGUGAGACUUAUUAUUUUUCACAUAUCUUUCCCUCCACGCAAGUAUUCCCCAGUUCCCCUCGCCAACACAGUUCCAUUUAAUUUUAUUCAAGAUUUGGUAGAGAAACGGAUUUGAAUAUGUAUGGCAGUCAAGACGAGAACGAGAUUGUCGAAUGUAACGUGAUAAAUAAAUGUCUUAUGAUAUUACGUUAAGCUAAGGGUGGGUUCACCGUUGAGCUUUAAGAGGAUUAGAAGGGCUUUAACCUUCCGUACGAAUUCGAUUGGAUUCGAAUCGCUUUCGUUUCCCGCCCAAAUCAAUCCCUUGACGAUUCAAUAAUGGAAAAUGUCGACCUCAUGCACAUUGCCGGCUAUAACAGUGACUGUCAAAGUUACGAUCAUUUUGACAGGUCCCUACCCACCGUUCGUUAGAUGAUCUUAACCUUCCAACGAAGCGAAAUAUAAGAAGGCAGGCAGUGAACAGAUCAAAUUCGAUAUGCUGACCCUGCACAUUUGAAAUACGAAUGAAAUUUUGGAAUAGAAUACGACCGAGUCAAAUUACAGAGGGAAUUUUAGCUAUUCGAAUAUAUUGGAUUUUGAAGUGCAGAAGAAACACUCGAGCUAUGGAAAUUUCCAAGGAGCGCAAAACAGGAUGCGAAUACAUCCGACCGGAAGUUCAUAUAGACUGUGGAAAUCUAUUGAACGUUUUCAUGGAUCGACCUUCCGUUGAAUUUCGGUUAGGCUCAAUUGGCAUUCAAAAUCGCUUCUUCCGCUCAACUAUUAACUAUCUAUACUGGUGAAACUCAUCCCUGCCAUUGGACUUUCUUGGAGUGCAAAACUCAAAGGAUCAACUUUAUGAACGCUUCAUAGGUAGACAAAUAAUCUACCUUAAUUUUGUCACAUUUUCAAAGAUUCAAGAUAGAAAACCCAGCCAGUAUGAGAGACAGAGGAAAAUAUUGUUAGGCAUAUAAAAAAAAAUAUGAUGAAACAUUAAUAAAUAAAAAAUCAAAUCCGGUGAGACAUAUUUAAUAAGAAAACGAGGAAACGCGAUGAAGAUGGAAAAAGAUUGUAUUAAGAAAACUAAAUAAUUCAUGGGCUCGUCUCUUUAUGUUGUUUUCAAUUGUUUGGGUAAAAAAAGGAAAUGGAAAAAAAGUCAUUAAAUAAUCACAGGUAUCUCUGUCUCUGAUUAAACCUAUUGGUUGACGAUGUAUGAUGGGAAAAAGUCACGCUACUCGUUAGGACAAAGUUGGAAGUGCAAACGCAGGCGAGUUUACAGAAUUGGCAAAAACCCUGUUAAUUAGGGAUUAGUCACUGGGGAGCUAAUUGACAUGUCCCGUGAGGAGUGACUGGAUAACAUAAGAGUGUACCUACGUUACAAAAAAAGAAAAAAAAAACGUAAAAGCAAAUUUUAAAAAAUAGAAAAAGGAUAUUUCCAUACAAUUUUCAACAACUGUGAUAUUCAAUUGUGACCAAGACUUCCUCUGGCUUUGCGAAAUGAACACGAACGUAAAUUAACACACCUGUGAACAUACAUAGGUGCUUUAAGAUGCAGCGAUGGCGAAUAAAAGCCAAAGGAAUAAAAAUCCACAUAAUAAACCCCAACACAAUUUCACAUGCAACUGCAAUAUGAAACUCCAUUAACCCAAGGGGAAAAUAUUUUCUAGAGCUUACAGCCUUUCAAUUUUGUCUUUUCAAAUCGUAUAUAAGUAUUUAUACAUUUUUAAGGCAAAACUACCUUGAGUCUUACGUAACCCCCACUUUUUUUCAAUCAGUCAUAA
Cephus cinctus (wheat stem sawfly) is the source of this 1803-nucleotide long non-coding RNA. RefSeq lists it as uncharacterized. NCBI's taxonomy places the organism in Eukaryota, Metazoa, Arthropoda, Insecta, Hymenoptera, Cephidae. The record is from RefSeq and is a predicted model, not a curated record. The transcript is spliced from 4 exons.